Chlorocebus sabaeus (green monkey) is the source of this 84-nucleotide microRNA precursor. The record is from Ensembl. NCBI's taxonomy places the organism in Eukaryota, Metazoa, Chordata, Mammalia, Primates, Cercopithecidae.
AUAUAUGUGUGUGUGUGUGUGUAUGUAUACACACAUACACACACACACACACACACACACACACACACACACACACACACAUAU